This 84-nucleotide transfer RNA is filed under the name Candidatus Magasanikiibacteriota bacterium. Its description in RNAcentral is "tRNA-Tyr". It matches the Rfam family "tRNA". Rfam says of the family: Transfer RNA (tRNA) molecules are approximately 80 nucleotides in length. Their secondary structure includes four short double-helical elements and three loops (D, anti-codon, and T loops). Lineage: Bacteria; Candidatus Magasanikiibacteriota. The record is from RNAcentral.
GGGCAGGUUGCAGAGCGGUCAAAUGCUCCAGACUGUAAAUCUGGCGGCCUCCGGCCUUCGAAGGUUCGAAUCCUUCCCUGCCCA